This 477-nucleotide ribosomal RNA is filed under the name uncultured bacterium. Its description in RNAcentral is "bacterial SSU rRNA". It matches the Rfam family "Bacterial small subunit ribosomal RNA", at positions 28 to 472 of the family's 1533-position model. The record is from RNAcentral.
GACGAACGCUGGCGGCGUGCUUAACACAUGCAAGUCGAACGAAAAGAGGGGAAGAGCUUGCUCUUUCCGGAAUUGAGUGGCAAACGGGUGAGUAACACGUAAACAACCUGCCUUCAGGAUGGGGACAACAGACGGAAACGACUGCUAAUACCGAAUAAGUUCCAAGGGCCGCAUGGCCCAUGGAAGAAAAGGUGGCCUCUACCUGUAAGCUAUCGCCUGAAGAGGGGUUUGCGUCUGAUUAGCUAGUUGGAGGGGUAACGGCCCACCAAGGCGAUGAUCAGUAGCCGGUCUGAGAGGAUGAACGGCCACAUUGGGACUGAGACACGGCCCAGACUCCUACGGGAGGCAGCAGUGGGGAAUCUUCCGCAAUGGACGAAAGUCUGACGGAGCAACGCCGCGUGAGUGAUGACGGCCUUCGGGUUGUAAAGCUCUGUUAAUCGGGACGAAAGGCCUUCUUGCGAAUAGUGAGAAGGAUGA